UCUGUUAGUAAUAUGAUUAUGAAGCAAAAAAUUAUGGCGGUAUUUUAAGCUUCUCAGAGGAAUUUGCUCUUUAAUGGAUAAAACACCUAAAUCUUACUUGAAUUUGUUAUAACAAUUUGUAUACCACUAUAAAAACAAUUAAUAACUUUAAUUGUUAAAAUUUAUUAAAUUAAAUUAAAUUAAGUCAAGGUGCAGUAAAAAUUCAAGGAUGAAGUGAAUUACAUUGCUUUUUAGAGAAUAAAAAUUAAAUAAACGUAUAGGAUUUGAAAGUAAAAUUAAAAUAGAAUGUUAAUUUGAAUUAAGCUCUAAAAUAUGUAC
Molecule: ribosomal RNA, 318 nt
Filed under: Rhipicephalus pilans
Lineage: Eukaryota; Metazoa; Arthropoda; Arachnida; Ixodida; Ixodidae
Description: partial small subunit ribosomal RNA
Source: RNAcentral